RNAcentral lists this ribosomal RNA (373 nucleotides) under uncultured bacterium. RNAcentral's name for it is "bacterial SSU rRNA". It matches the Rfam family "Bacterial small subunit ribosomal RNA", at positions 527 to 898 of the family's 1533-position model. The record is from RNAcentral.
AGAGGGGGCGAGCGUUGUUCGGAAUUACUGGGCGUAAAGGGCGCGUAGGCGGCCUGUUAAGUCGAACGUGAAAUCCCCGGGCUCAACCCGGGAACUGCGUCCGAGACUGAUAGGCUCGAAUCCGGGAGAGGGAUGUGGAAUUCCAGGUGUAGCGGUGAAAUGCGUAGAUAUCUGGAGGAACACCGGUGGCGAAGGCGGCAUCCUGGACCGGUAUUGACGCUGAGGCGCGAAAGCCAGGGGAGCAAACGGGAUUAGAUACCCCGGUAGUCCUGGCCCUAAACGAUGAAUGCUUGGUGUGGCGGGUAUCGAUCCCUGCCGUGCCGAAGCUAACGCAUUAAGCAUUCCGCCUGGGGAGUACGGUCGCAAGGCUGAA